UACGAAGGGUGCAAACGUUGCUCGGAAUUAUUGGGCGUAAAGCGCACGUAGGCGGCAUUGCAAGUCGGAUGUGAAAUCCCUUGGCUUAACCAAGGAAGUGCAUCCGAAACUGCAGUGCUUGAGUACUUAAGAGGAUCGCGGAAUUCCCGGUGUAGAGGUGAAAUUCGUAGAUAUCGGGAGGAACACCAGUGGCGAAGGCGGCGAUCUGGGAAGAUACUGACGCUGAGGUGCGAAAGCGUGGGGAGCAAACAGG
RNAcentral lists this ribosomal RNA (253 nucleotides) under uncultured bacterium. Its description in RNAcentral is "partial 16S ribosomal RNA". It matches the Rfam family "Bacterial small subunit ribosomal RNA", at positions 524 to 776 of the family's 1533-position model. The record is from RNAcentral.